GCGCCUGUAGCUCAAAGGAUAGAGCAUCAGAUUCCGGUUCUGAGGGUUGUAGGUUCGAGUCCUAUCAGGCGCGCCA
Molecule: transfer RNA, 76 nt
Filed under: Mycoplasmatota bacterium
Lineage: Bacteria; Bacillati; Mycoplasmatota
Also listed under: 2 other names
Description: Tenericutes bacterium tRNA-Arg
Rfam family: tRNA
About the family: Transfer RNA (tRNA) molecules are approximately 80 nucleotides in length. Their secondary structure includes four short double-helical elements and three loops (D, anti-codon, and T loops). Further hydrogen bonds mediate the characteristic L-shaped molecular structure. tRNAs have two regions of fundamental functional importance: the anti-codon, which is responsible for specific mRNA codon recognition, and the 3' end, to which the tRNAs corresponding amino acid is attached (by aminoacyl-tRNA synthetases). tRNAs cope with the degeneracy of the genetic code in two manners: having more than one tRNA (with a specific anti-codon) for a particular amino acid; and 'wobble' base-pairing, i.e. permitting non-standard base-pairing at the 3rd anti-codon position.
Source: RNAcentral